Molecule: transfer RNA, 72 nt
Filed under: Gemmobacter caeni
Lineage: Bacteria; Pseudomonadati; Pseudomonadota; Alphaproteobacteria; Rhodobacterales; Paracoccaceae
Description: tRNA-OTHER
Rfam family: tRNA
About the family: Transfer RNA (tRNA) molecules are approximately 80 nucleotides in length. Their secondary structure includes four short double-helical elements and three loops (D, anti-codon, and T loops).
Source: RNAcentral
GGGGCCGGAGCUCGGAUGGCAGAGCAACGAUCUCUAAAAUCGGAUGCGCGGGUUCGAACCCCGUCGGCCGCC